This 492-nucleotide ribosomal RNA is filed under the name uncultured bacterium. Its description in RNAcentral is "partial 16S ribosomal RNA". It matches the Rfam family "Bacterial small subunit ribosomal RNA", at positions 29 to 507 of the family's 1533-position model. The record is from RNAcentral.
AGUGAACGCUGGCGGUAGGCCUAACACAUGCAAGUCGAACGGCAGCACAGUAAGAGCUUGCUCUUACGGGUGGCGAGUGGCGGACGGGUGAGGAAUACAUCGGAAUCUACUUUUUCGUGGGGGAUAACGUAGGGAAACUUACGCUAAUACCGCAUACGACCUACGGGUGAAAGCAGGGGAUCUUCGGACCUUGCGCGAUUGAAUGAGCCGAUGUCGGAUUAGCUAGUUGGUGGGGUAAAGGCCCACCAAGGCGACGAUCCGUAGCUGGUCUGAGAGGAUGAUCAGCCACACUGGAACUGAGACACGGUCCAGACUCCUACGAGAGGCAGCAGUGGGGAAUAUUGGACAAUGGGCGCAAGCCUGAUCCAGCCAUACCGCGUGGGUGAAGAAGGCCUUCGGGUUGUAAAGCCCUUUUGUUGGGAAAGAAAAGCAGCAGGUUAAUACCCCGCUGUUCUGACGGUGCCCAAAGAAUAAGCACCGGCUAACUUCGUG